Molecule: ribosomal RNA, 449 nt
Filed under: uncultured bacterium
Lineage: Bacteria
Description: partial 16S ribosomal RNA
Rfam family: Bacterial small subunit ribosomal RNA
Source: RNAcentral
AACGAACGCUGGCGGCAUGCCUAACACAUGCAAGUCGAACGUAGCCUUCGGGCUUAGUGGCGCACGGGUGCGUAACGCGUGGGAAUCUGCCCUUGGGUUCGGAAUAACAGUUAGAAAUGACUGCUAAUACCGGAUGAUGUCUUCGGACCAAAGAUUUAUCGCCCAAGGAUGAGCCCGCGUAGGAUUAGGUAGUUGGUGGGGUAAUGGCCCACCAAGCCGACGAUCCUUAGCUGGUCUGAGAGGAUGAUCAGCCACACUGGGACUGGGACACGGCCCAGACUCCUACGGGAGGCAGCAGUGGGGAAUAUUGGACAAUGGGCGAAAGCCUGAUCCAGCAAUGCCGCGUGAGUGAUGAAGGCCUUAGGGUUGUAAAGCUCUUUUACCAGGGAUGAUAAUGACAGUACCUGGAGAAUAAGCUCCGGCUAACUCCGUGCCAGCAGCCGCCGUAA